UUUACUAAUUCUAACUUCCCUUUGAGGUAGAUCCUAGUAUUCCCAUUUUAUGGAUGGGGUCACACGGAGGUUAAGUAAACUACUUAUAGUCCUAAAAAUAGGAAGUGGUUGGUUUGGCCUGGGACUGAAACACAAGCCUCAACUGGAGUCUACACAUAUUGGGAAGAGAAACCUGUGAGAAUUCUGUUGGGUUAGAAGGCCUAUACAAAGAAAGAAGUGAAAACUUGAAGAAGUGAUUAGAGUUGGAAGUUUAAUACCAUUUUAAUGAAGGGAAAAGUUACUGGACAACAAAAGAAGAGUUUUAGGGACCAUAAAUUAUGUGGCUUUUUAGGUUUCCUGGCUCCUUUGGGGCUUAUUGUUUGGAAGAGUCAGUGCAAGUUUGUCAAUAGUAGCCCUGAGUCUACCUAAACUAUUUCGUGGCCAGAAACUGACAGUGAAACAUUUCAACAGAAACCAAGCCCUCCAAAGUGAACUUUCUAAAUGGUGUGCUGAAUCUGAGAAUUUCAACCUUAUUUUUCUGUUGGGUAAAAAUCAUUCUCUUUUAUUGCCCUGUACUCACUUUUAUUUUAUUUU
This is a long non-coding RNA of Talpa occidentalis (Iberian mole), 573 nucleotides long. RefSeq lists it as uncharacterized. Lineage: Eukaryota; Metazoa; Chordata; Mammalia; Eulipotyphla; Talpidae. The transcript is spliced from 3 exons. The record is from RefSeq and is a predicted model, not a curated record.